RNAcentral lists this ribosomal RNA (426 nucleotides) under Microsporidia sp. clade X. RNAcentral's name for it is "SSU rRNA". It matches the Rfam family "Eukaryotic small subunit ribosomal RNA", at positions 1341 to 1791 of the family's 1831-position model. The record is from RNAcentral. Lineage: Eukaryota; Fungi; Microsporidia.
CCUUAACCUGCUAAAUAGUCCUGUCAACUAUAGUUGAUGAGGACUUCUUAGAGGGACUAUCUGUGACUAACAGAUGGAAGUUUGAGGCAAUAACAGGUCUGUGAUGCCCUUAGAUGUUCUGGGCCGCACGCGCGCUACACUGAUAAAGUCAGCGAGUAUUCACCUUGACCGGAAGGUCUGGGUAAUCUUUUGAAACUUUAUCGUGAUGGGGAUUGACCAUUGCAAUUAUUGGUCAUGAACGAGGAAUUCCUAGUAAGCGCAAGUCAUCAGCUUGCGUUGAUUACGUCCCUGCCCUUUGUACACACCGCCCGUCGAUACUACCGAUUGAAUGGCUUAGUGAGACCUUUGGAAAGGGUCUCAUGGCCGCAAGGCAUAUGAGAUCUUUGAAAUUGGUCAAACUUGGUCAUUUAGAGGAAGUAAAAGUCG